This 447-nucleotide ribosomal RNA is filed under the name uncultured bacterium. Its description in RNAcentral is "bacterial SSU rRNA". It matches the Rfam family "Bacterial small subunit ribosomal RNA", at positions 355 to 825 of the family's 1533-position model. The record is from RNAcentral.
UCGGGAAUUUUGGGCAAUGGGGGAAACCCUGACCCAGCAACGCCGCGUGAAGGAUGAAGUAUUUCGGUAUGUAAACUUCGAAAGAAUAGGAAGAAUAAAUGACGGUACUAUUUAUAAGGUCCGGCUAACUACGUGCCAGCAGCCGCGGUAAUACGUAGGGACCAAGCGUUGUUCGGAUUUACUGGGCGUAAAGGGCGCGUAGGCGGCAUGACAAGUCACUUGUGAAAUCUCUGGGCUUAACCCAGAACGGCCAAGUGAUACUGUCGCGCUAGAGUGCAGAAGGGGCAAUCGGAAUUCUUGGUGUAGCGGUGAAAUGCGUAGAUAUCAAGAGGAACACCUGAGGCGAAGGCGAGUUGCUAGGCUGACACUGACGCUGAGGUACGAAAGCUAGGGGAGCGAACGGGAUUAGAUACCCGCGUAGUCCCUGAGCGGGCUGGCAAGGCGCAU